Molecule: long non-coding RNA, 410 nt
Filed under: Mytilus galloprovincialis (Mediterranean mussel)
Lineage: Eukaryota; Metazoa; Mollusca; Bivalvia; Mytilida; Mytilidae
Source: RNAcentral
GCGCCUAUAAAAUGAUCACGUGUAGAUGUAGAAAGUGUUUGUAAACAAUGCCACGUGUUUAUUGCGCAACAAGUCUUUAAUCACUUAACAUACGACUAUAUUUAGUGACAACUGGAAUGUUUUAAUCAACUAAUAGAAGUUCCUGUGUAUGUUUCAUGCACAAAUGCAUGAAUGUUGACGUAUAUUUUCGUUUCCGGCUUUACCAAGUGUGUAGAAUCUAGACGCUACAGUGUUUUUACCUCCAAAUUGAAGAGUUCAAGUGGUACCAUUGGUCAAGAAUAAUGUAUUCGGAAUGGGCGUGACUUUAAUCUUCCGAUAGAUGGCGCAACAUUGAUAUCACACAUGUUAGCUCAAUCUGCCAAGGGUGAAGAGAGCGGGAGUGGAUCGUAACCCUUGGCUAGCGAAGAUGA